GGUAUUUUGACUAUACGAAGGUAUUGAAAUAAGACUUUAAAUGAGUGCUAAGAGAAUGGUUGAACAAUUAUUAACUUUCUUUAAGUUAAAAAUUAAAUUUAAUUUUUUUGUGAAGAAGCAAAAAUAAAAAUUAGGGACAAGAAGACCCUAUGAAUUUUAAUUUGGGUAUUAAUUUAUAGUAAUUAUUUUUAAAUUUAAUUGGGGCGAUAAAAAAAGAAUGUCUAUCUUUAAUAUUGCAGGAAAGGUUGUUCCGUUUAUUAACGAUUAAUUGAAAAAAAUACUCUAGGGAUAACAGCGUAAUUAUUUUGGAUAGUUCAUAUAGAUAAAGUAGUUUGCGACCUCGAUGUUGGAUUAGGAUACUCUUUUGGUGAAGAAGUUAAAAAGAGAAGUUUGUUCAACUUUUAAUCUCCU
RNAcentral lists this ribosomal RNA (411 nucleotides) under Ixodes spinosus. Its description in RNAcentral is "partial large subunit ribosomal RNA". The stretch from base 105 to 411 matches the Rfam family "Bacterial large subunit ribosomal RNA", at positions 2048 to 2597 of the family's 2925-position model. The record is from RNAcentral. Lineage: Eukaryota; Metazoa; Arthropoda; Arachnida; Ixodida; Ixodidae.